AGUCUGAUUAUGGCUCAGAUUGAACGCUGGUGUAUGCCACACGAUGCAGUCACAGAACGGCAGCACGGACUUCGGUCUGGUGGCGAGUGGCGAAACGGGUGAGUAAUGUAUCGGAACGUGCCUAGUAGCGGGGGAUAACUACGCGAAAGGUAUGACACUGCACAUAGCCCUUCGGGCGAAAGCGGGGACCUUCGGCCUGCAUUAGCUAGGAGCGGCCGAUAUCGGAUUAGCUAGUUGGUGGGCAACGGCUCACCAAGGCGACGAUCCGUAGCUGGUUUGAGAGGACGACCAGCCACACUGGGACUGAGACACGGCCCAGACUCCUACGGGAGGCAGCGGGGAAUUUGGACAAUGGGGAAACCCCGAUCCAGCCAUCCCGCGUGCGAUGAAGGCCUUCGGGUUGUAAAGCACUUUUUGGCAGGAAAGAAACGGCACGGAUAACACCUGCAACUGACGGUACCUGCAACAAGCACCACAAUGGCAUGCGCCAGCAGCCGUGUAAUACGGUGCAAGCGUUAAUCGGAAUUGUUACUGGGCGCAAAGCGUGCGCAGGCGGUUCGGAAAGAAAGAUGGAACUCAGAGUCAUAACUUGAACUGCAUUUUUAACUACCGAGCUAGAGUGUGUCAGAGGGAGGUGGAAUUCCGCGUAGAAGUGAAAUGCGUAGAUAUGCGGAGGAACACCGAUGGCGAAGGCAGCCUUCCCGGGAUAACACUGACGCUCAUGCACGAAAGGUGGGGAGCAAACAGGAUUAGAUACCCUGGUGGUCCACGUUCAAACGAUGUCAACUAGCUGUUGGGGUCUUCGCCUUCCUGCAGUGUGCAGCUAACGCGUGAAGUUGACCGCCUGGGGAGUACGGUCGCAAGAUUAAAACUCAAAGGAAUUGACGGGGACCCGCACAAGCGGUGGAUGGAUGUGGAUUAAUUGAUGCAACGCGAAAAACCUUACCUACCCUUGACAUGUCUGGAAUCCCAGAAGAUCGGGAGUGCUCGCAAGAGAACUGAACACAGGUGCUGCAUGGCUGUCGUCAGCUCGUGUCGAGAUGUUGGGUUAAGUCCCGGCAACGAGCGCAACCCUUGUCAUUAGUUGCUACGAAAGGGCACUCUAAUGAGACUGCCGGUGACAAACCGGAGGUGCGUGAUGACGUCAAGUCCUCAUGGCCCUGCGGUAGGGCUUCACACGUCAUAAUGGUCGGGACAGAGGUCGCCAACCAAGGGAGGGGGAGCCAAUCCCAGAAACCCGAUCGUAGUCCGGAUCGCAGUCUGCAACUCGACUGCGUGAAGUCGGAAUCGCUAGUAAUCGCGGAUCAGCAUGUCGCGGUGAAUACGUUCCCGGGUCUUGCACACACCGCCCGUCACACCAUGGGAGUGGGUUUUACCAGAAGUAGUUAGCCUAACCGUAAGGAGGGCGAUUACCACGGUAGGAUUCAUGACCGUGAAGUCGUGAAGGUAG
RNAcentral lists this ribosomal RNA (1450 nucleotides) under uncultured Bordetella sp. RNAcentral's name for it is "partial 16S-23S ribosomal RNA intergenic spacer". It matches the Rfam family "Bacterial small subunit ribosomal RNA". The record is from RNAcentral. Lineage: Bacteria; Pseudomonadati; Pseudomonadota; Betaproteobacteria; Burkholderiales; Alcaligenaceae.